GCGGGUGUGGCGGAAUGGUAGACGCACCAGAUUUAGGUUCUGGCGCCGCAAGGCGUGGAGGUUCAAGUCCUCUCACCCGUACCA
Molecule: transfer RNA, 84 nt
Filed under: Sulfitobacter brevis
Lineage: Bacteria; Pseudomonadati; Pseudomonadota; Alphaproteobacteria; Rhodobacterales; Roseobacteraceae
Description: tRNA_Leu_TAG
Rfam family: tRNA
About the family: Transfer RNA (tRNA) molecules are approximately 80 nucleotides in length. Their secondary structure includes four short double-helical elements and three loops (D, anti-codon, and T loops). Further hydrogen bonds mediate the characteristic L-shaped molecular structure. tRNAs have two regions of fundamental functional importance: the anti-codon, which is responsible for specific mRNA codon recognition, and the 3' end, to which the tRNAs corresponding amino acid is attached (by aminoacyl-tRNA synthetases). tRNAs cope with the degeneracy of the genetic code in two manners: having more than one tRNA (with a specific anti-codon) for a particular amino acid; and 'wobble' base-pairing, i.e. permitting non-standard base-pairing at the 3rd anti-codon position.
Source: RNAcentral